GAUGAACGCUGGCGGCGUGCCUAAUACAUGCAAGUCGAGCGAACAGACGAGGAGCUUGCUCCUCUGACGUUAGCGGCGGACGGGUGAGUAACACGUGGAUAACCUCCCUAUAAGACUGGGAUAACUUCGGGAAACCGGAGCUAAUACCGGAUAAUAUAUUGAACCGCAUGGUUCAAUAGUGAAAGACGGUUUUGCUGUCACUUAUAGAUGGAUCCGCGCCGCAUUAGCUAGUUGGUAAGGUAACGGCUUACCAAGGCAACGAUGCGUAGCCGACCUGAGAGGGUGAUCGGCCACACUGGAACUGAGACACGGUCCAGACGCCUACGGGAGGCAGCAGUAGGGAAUCUUCCGCAAUGGGCGAAAGCCUGACGGAGCAACGCCGCGUGAGUGAUGAAGGUCUUCGGAUCGUAAAACUCUGUUAUUAGGGAAGAACAAAUGUGUAAGUAACUAUGCACGGCUUGACGGUACCUAAUCAGAAAGCCACGGCUAACUACGUG
Molecule: ribosomal RNA, 497 nt
Filed under: uncultured bacterium
Lineage: Bacteria
Description: partial 16S ribosomal RNA
Rfam family: Bacterial small subunit ribosomal RNA
Source: RNAcentral